AUCCAUAGAACCAUUUCGGAAAGGGGAAAGGAAUAAUUAUGUGAAAUUUAGCAAAACUUAUGGAAAAUAGCUGAAGCGAAGAAUUCCACUCACGUUCGAAGUUCCAUUCCUCAGGGAACGGUAGGAUCUCCUUAGGAAUAACUUUGAUGGUCCUCACCCGGAUGAACCGAUUCAUCUAACAUCGAUCUUUGCCUUCGUCAUUACUGGCUAAGAAGGACUUAGUUGAUCUGCAUUGGAGUUUGAUUAAACCUCGAAAAUGUUGAGGUCGAUAUAAUCAGAUGAUGUGGCGGGGGGUGACCCAAGCCUGGCCUAUUCGAUGAAGAACCUCAUCAUUAUUAUGAUCAUCCAAAAGGGCAGAUGAAUCUGGCCUAGGUGACUUGAUAUCUUUGGCAGAAUUCAAGCACGAGAGGGUCGAUGGGACCCAAUGUAAAGGGGUAUGUAUACACACUCGGUCACCCUUCUACGUAAGUUGUGAUGUCCUCCUCACGAGAAGAUAUUUGCAGAAUUAUCUUCUCUUCCCAUUAACACUCUCUCCUCACAACAUCGAGGUAUUUUUUCUUAAUUGACC
This 568-nucleotide long non-coding RNA is filed under the name Nicotiana benthamiana. RNAcentral's name for it is "long non-coding RNA (NBEN_LNC011755)". Lineage: Eukaryota; Viridiplantae; Streptophyta; Magnoliopsida; Solanales; Solanaceae. The record is from RNAcentral.